Molecule: ribosomal RNA, 581 nt
Filed under: uncultured bacterium
Lineage: Bacteria
Description: bacterial SSU rRNA
Rfam family: Bacterial small subunit ribosomal RNA
Source: RNAcentral
CUAAUACCGCAUGACAACUGAGGUUUAAAGGCGCAAGUCGCCUGAGGAGGAGCCUGCGUACGAUUAGCUAGUUGGUGGGGUAAAGGCCUACCAAGGCUGCGAUCGUUAGCUGGUCUGAGAGGAAGAUCAGCCACAUUGGGACUGAGACACGGACCAAACUCCUACGGGAGGCAGCAGUGGGGAAUAUUGGACAAUGGGCGCAAGCCUGAUCCAGCAACGCCGCGUGUGUGAAGAAGGUCUUCGGAUUGUAAAGCACUUUCGACGGGGACGAUGAUGACGGUACCCGUAGAAGAAGCCCCCGGCUAACUUCGUGCCAGCAGCCGCGGUAAUACGAAAGGGGGCUAGCGUAGCUCGGAAUGACUGGGCGUAAAGGGCGCGUUAAGCGGAUUUACAGUCAGAUGUGAAAUUCCCGGGCUUAACCUGGGGGCUGCAUUUGAUACGUAGGGUCUAGAGUGAGGAAGAGGCUCGUGGAAUUCCCAGUGUAGAGGUGAAAUUCGUAGAUAUUGGGAAGAACACCGGUGGCGAAGGCGGCGACCUGGUCCUUGACUGACGCUGAGGCGCGAAAGCGUGGGGAGCAAACA